Molecule: ribosomal RNA, 682 nt
Filed under: uncultured bacterium
Lineage: Bacteria
Description: bacterial SSU rRNA
Rfam family: Bacterial small subunit ribosomal RNA
Source: RNAcentral
GCUUAACACAUGCAAGUCGAGGGGAAACGAUAUUGGAAGCUUGCUUCCGAUAGGCGUCGACCGGCGCACGGGUGAGUAACGCGUAUCCAACCUGCCCACCACUUGGGGAUAACCUUGCGAAAGUAAGACUAAUACCCAAUGAUAUCUCUAGAAGACAUCUGAAAGAGAUUAAAGAUUUAUCGGUGAUGGAUGGGGGUGCGUCUGAUUAGCUUGUUGGCGGGGUAACGGCCCACCAAGGCAACGAUCAGUAGGGGUUCUGAGAGGAAGGUCCCCCACAUUGGAACUGAGACACGGUCCAAACUCCUACGGGAGGCAGCAGUGAGGAAUAUUGGUCAAUGGACGAGAGUCUGAACCAGCCAAGUAGCGUGCAGGAAGACGGCCCUAUGGGUUGUAAACUGCUUUUAUAAGGGAAUAAAGUGAGUCUCGUGAGACUUUUUGCAUGUACCUUAUGAAUAAGGACCGGCUAAUUCCGUGCCAGCAGCCGCGGUAAUACGGAAGGUCCGGGCGUUAUCCGGAUUUAUUGGGUUUAAAGGGAGCGUAGGCCGGAGAUUAAGCGUGUUGUGAAAUGUAGAUGCUCAACAUCUGAACUGCAGCGCGAACUGGUUUCCUUGAGUACGCACAAAGUGGGCGGAAUUCGUGGUGUAGCGGUGAAAUGCUUAGAUAUCACGAAGAACUCCGAUUG